Molecule: ribosomal RNA, 580 nt
Filed under: Sporobolomyces salmonicolor
Lineage: Eukaryota; Fungi; Basidiomycota; Microbotryomycetes; Sporidiobolales; Sporidiobolaceae
Description: eukaryotic LSU rRNA
Rfam family: Eukaryotic large subunit ribosomal RNA
Source: RNAcentral
AGCGGAGGAAAAGAAACUAACAAGGAUUCCCCUAGUAGCGGCGAGCGAAGCGGGAAAAGCUCAAAUUUGUAAUCUGGCGCUUUCGGCGUCCGAGUUGUAAUCUCGAGAAGUGUUUUCCGCGUCAGACCGCACACAAGUCUCCUGGAACGGAGCGUCACAGUGGUGAGAACCCAGUACACGGUGCGGAUGCCUGAUGCUUUGUGAUACACUUUCGAAGAGUCGAGUUGUUUGGGAAUGCAGCUCAAAUUGGGUGGUAAAUUCCAUCUAAAGCUAAAUAUUGGCGAGAGACCGAUAGCGAACAAGUACCGUGAGGGAAAGAUGAAAAGCACUUUGGAAAGAGAGUUAACAGUACGUGAAAUUGUUGGAAGGGAAACGCUUGAAGUCAGACUUGCUAUUCGGAGCUUGCUUCGAUUCGCAGGCCCGCAUCAGUUUUCCGGGGCGGAAAAUCGUAAGGAGAAGGUAGCAGUUUCGGCUGUGUUAUAGCUCUUUACUGGAUUCGUCCUGGGGGACUGAGGAACGCAGCGUGCUUUUUGCAUGGGCUUCGGCCCAUCCACGCUUAGGAUGCGGGUGGAAUGGGUUU